Molecule: transfer RNA, 73 nt
Organism: Methanobrevibacter sp. AbM4
Lineage: Archaea; Methanobacteriati; Methanobacteriota; Methanobacteria; Methanobacteriales; Methanobacteriaceae
Rfam family: tRNA
About the family: Transfer RNA (tRNA) molecules are approximately 80 nucleotides in length. Their secondary structure includes four short double-helical elements and three loops (D, anti-codon, and T loops). Further hydrogen bonds mediate the characteristic L-shaped molecular structure. tRNAs have two regions of fundamental functional importance: the anti-codon, which is responsible for specific mRNA codon recognition, and the 3' end, to which the tRNAs corresponding amino acid is attached (by aminoacyl-tRNA synthetases). tRNAs cope with the degeneracy of the genetic code in two manners: having more than one tRNA (with a specific anti-codon) for a particular amino acid; and 'wobble' base-pairing, i.e. permitting non-standard base-pairing at the 3rd anti-codon position.
Source: Rfam
GGGCUCGUAGCUCAGUUGGGAGAGCGCUGCCCUUGCAAGGCAGAGGCCCCGGGUUCAAGUCCCGGUGAGUCCA